CACCUCGGGGCACCUGCGCGCCGAGUUGCCCACCCACGCGUACGGCAGCGUGGACCCGACCACCGACGCGAAGGUGAAGUAGUGGAAGCCGCACACCUGCCCGCAGAAGUCGUCCACGGCGACGUCCGGGGACGUGAGCACCAGGUACACGCCGCCGCUGGCGUCCACGGGCAGGGGCCGGGUGCGCGCCGUCACGGCGUCGCGGACCACUGCCUGGAUGUCCAUGCGCGACAGCCGCGCGCCGCGGGACAUGCGCGCGUCCGACUUCUCCG
Molecule: long non-coding RNA, 272 nt
Filed under: Zea mays
Lineage: Eukaryota; Viridiplantae; Streptophyta; Magnoliopsida; Poales; Poaceae
Description: long non-coding RNA (ZMAY_LNC005255)
Source: RNAcentral